This is a long non-coding RNA of Oppia nitens, 354 nucleotides long. RefSeq lists it as uncharacterized. Lineage: Eukaryota; Metazoa; Arthropoda; Arachnida; Sarcoptiformes; Oppiidae. The transcript is spliced from 4 exons. The record is from RefSeq and is a predicted model, not a curated record.
GUUAAGUCUUUUAUUUGAAAGGUAUAUAAGGUGUCUGUGCUUUGAAUUGUAUUGUAAAUCAAAUCAAACAACAAAACAAUCAAAAAAAAAAUCAAAAAGUUUUUGGGAAAACUUUCAACAACAAAAAAAAACAAUGAAUCGUUUCGUAGUAUUGGUUGCAAUAGUUAUCAUUGCUUUUCUAUCAAACAUAACUCGACAAGAUGAAGAUGAUGGAGGAGGAGGAGGUGAAGCAGUAGAAGGGGAAAUUGCUGAUCCAAAUAAAAAACCAAUACCAGACCAUGUACAAAAAUAUUAAGUUUGAAAAAUAAUGAAAAUGUUUAUUUAUUAAUUAUUUUAUUAUAAAUAUUCUGUAAU